AGCGCAGCGAUGCGUUGAGCUAACCGGUACUAAUGACCCGUGAGGCUUAACCUUA
This 55-nucleotide ribosomal RNA is filed under the name Erwinia sp. JUb26. RNAcentral describes it as "partial 23S ribosomal RNA". Lineage: Bacteria; Pseudomonadati; Pseudomonadota; Gammaproteobacteria; Enterobacterales; Erwiniaceae. The record is from RNAcentral.